CGAACGGGUGAGUAAUGCGUGACCAACCUGCCCCAUGCUCCAGAAUAGCUCUUGGAAACGGGUGGUAAUGCUGGAUGCUCCAACUUGACGCAUGUCUUGUUGGGAAAGUGUUUAGUGGCAUGGGAUGGGGUCGCGUCCUAUCAGCUUGUAGGCGGGGUAAUGGCCCACCUAGGCUUCGACGGGUAGCCGGCCUGAGGGGGCGGACGGCCACAUUGGGACUGAGAUACGGCCCAGACUCCUACGGGAGGCAGCAGCA
This 256-nucleotide ribosomal RNA is filed under the name uncultured Gardnerella sp. RNAcentral's name for it is "partial 16S ribosomal RNA". It matches the Rfam family "Bacterial small subunit ribosomal RNA", at positions 99 to 355 of the family's 1533-position model. The record is from RNAcentral. Lineage: Bacteria; Bacillati; Actinomycetota; Actinomycetes; Bifidobacteriales; Bifidobacteriaceae.